This 93-nucleotide small nucleolar RNA is filed under the name Vanderwaltozyma polyspora DSM 70294. The record is from RNAcentral. Lineage: Eukaryota; Fungi; Ascomycota; Saccharomycetes; Saccharomycetales; Saccharomycetaceae.
GUUUAUGAUGACAACUUUUCUCAGCUCACUCAGAUCAAUUCAUGAUCGAUAACAUUUCCUAUCCAACAUUCAUCAAUUUUAACUGACUUAUUC